This 301-nucleotide ribosomal RNA is filed under the name uncultured bacterium. RNAcentral's name for it is "partial 16S ribosomal RNA". It matches the Rfam family "Bacterial small subunit ribosomal RNA", at positions 509 to 807 of the family's 1533-position model. The record is from RNAcentral.
CAGCAGCCGCGGUAACACCGAGGGUGCGAGCGUUAAUCGGAUUUACUGGGCGUAAAGCGUGCGUAGGCGGCUUCUUAAGUCGGAUGUGAAAUCCCUGAGCUUAACUUAGGAAUUGCAUUCGAUACUGGGAAGCUAGAGUAUGGGAGAGGAUGGUAGAAUUCCAGGUGUAGCGGUGAAAUGCGUAGAGAUCUGGAGGAAUACCGAUGGCGAAGGCAGCCAUCUGGCCUAAUACUGACGCUGAGGUACGAAAGCAUGGGGAGCAAACAGGAUUAGAUACCCCGGUAGUCCCUGUCUCUUAUAC